Molecule: ribosomal RNA, 253 nt
Filed under: uncultured bacterium
Lineage: Bacteria
Description: partial 16S ribosomal RNA
Rfam family: Bacterial small subunit ribosomal RNA
Source: RNAcentral
UACGGGGGGGGCAAGCGUUGUUCGGAAUUACUGGGCGUAAAGGGCUCGUAGGCGGCCAACCAAGUCGGAUGUGAAAUCCCCAGGCUCAACCUGGGAACUGCAUCCGAUACUGGAUGGCUUGAAUCCGGGAGAGGGAUGCAGAAUUCCAGGUGUAGCGGUGAAAUGCGUAGAUAUCGGAAGGAACAUCAGUGGCGAAAGCGACUUCCUGGACCAGUACCGACGUUCAGGCACGAAAGCGUGGGGAGCAAACAGG